RNAcentral lists this ribosomal RNA (393 nucleotides) under uncultured bacterium. RNAcentral's name for it is "bacterial SSU rRNA". It matches the Rfam family "Bacterial small subunit ribosomal RNA", at positions 505 to 898 of the family's 1533-position model. The record is from RNAcentral.
GUGUCAGCCGCCGCGGUAAUACGAAGGGGGCUAGCGUUGCUCGGAAUUACUGGGCGUAAAGGGCGCGUAGGCGGGUCGUCAAGUUGGGGGUGAAAGCCCGGGGCUCAACCUCGGAAUUGCCUUCAAAACUGACGACCUAGAGUAUGGCAGAGGUGUGUGGAACUCCGAGUGUAGAGGUGAAAUUCGUAGAUAUUCGGAAGAACACCAGUGGCGAAGGCGACACACUGGGCCAUUACUGACGCUGAGGCGCGAAAGCGUGGGGAGCAAACAGGAUUAGAUACCCUGGUAGUCCACGCCGUAAACGAUGAGUGCUAGUUGUCGGCAUGCAUGCAUGUCGGUGACGCAGCUAACGCAUUAAGCACUCCGCCUGGGGAGUACGGUCGCAAGAUUAAA